AACAUAACCUUUAGCCAGACAAGUAUUAAAGGCAACGCCUGCCCAGUGAAAAUUAAACGGCCGCGGUACCCUAACCGUGCAAAGGUAGCAUAAUCAUUUGUCUAUUAAUUGUAGACCUGUAUGAAAGGCAAAAUGAGAGCCCAACUGUCUCUUAUAACAAAUCAAUUAAACUGAUCUCCUAGUACAAAAGCUAGAAUACCAACAUAAGACCAGAAGACCCUGUGAAGCUUUAACUAACCUAUUAAAUCCAAUAAUGGCUACUUUCGGUUGGGGCGACCUUGGAAUAAAAAAGAACUUCCAAUAACAUGACUUCUCAUAAAAUAGGCAGACAAGCCAACACUAGAUCCAGUAUUACUGACAAUUGAAAUAAGUUACUCCAGGGAUAACAGCGCUAUCUUCUUUAAGAGCCCAUAUCAAAAAGAAGGUUUACGACCUCGAUGUUGGAUCAGGGCACCCCAGUAAUGCACCCGUUACUAAAGGUUCGUUUGUUCAACGAUCAACAGCCCUACGUGAUCUGA
RNAcentral lists this ribosomal RNA (518 nucleotides) under Bothriechis nigroviridis. RNAcentral describes it as "partial 16S ribosomal RNA". It matches the Rfam family "Bacterial large subunit ribosomal RNA", at positions 1812 to 2608 of the family's 2925-position model. The record is from RNAcentral. Lineage: Eukaryota; Metazoa; Chordata; Lepidosauria; Squamata; Viperidae.